This 1013-nucleotide ribosomal RNA is filed under the name Acinetobacter bereziniae. RNAcentral describes it as "bacterial SSU rRNA". It matches the Rfam family "Bacterial small subunit ribosomal RNA", at positions 55 to 1061 of the family's 1533-position model. The record is from RNAcentral. Lineage: Bacteria; Pseudomonadati; Pseudomonadota; Gammaproteobacteria; Moraxellales; Moraxellaceae.
AUGCAGUCGAGCGGGGGAGAUUGCUUCGGUAAUUGACCUAGCGGCGGACGGGUGAGUAAUACUUAGGAAUCUGCCUAUUAAUGGGGGACAACAUCUCGAAAGGGAUGCUAAUACCGCAUACGCCCUACGGGGGAAAGCAGGGGAUCACUUGUGACCUUGCGUUAAUAGAUGAGCCUAAGUCGGAUUAGCUAGUUGGUGGGGUAAAGGCCUACCAAGGCGACGAUCUGUAGCGGGUCUGAGAGGAUGAUCCGCCACACUGGGACUGAGACACGGCCCAGACUCCUACGGGAGGCAGCAGUGGGGAAUAUUGGACAAUGGGGGGAACCCUGAUCCAGCCAUGCCGCGUGUGUGAAGAAGGCCUUAUGGUUGUAAAGCACUUUAAGCGAGGAGGAGGCUCUUUUGGUUAAUACCCAAGAUGAGUGGACGUUACUCGCAGAAUAAGCACCGGCUAACUCUGUGCCAGCAGCCGCGGUAAUACAGAGGGUGCGAGCGUUAAUCGGAUUUACUGGGCGUAAAGCGUGCGUAGGCGGCUUUUUAAGUCGGAUGUGAAAUCCCCGAGCUUAACUUGGGAAUUGCAUUCGAUACUGGGAAGCUAGAGUAUGGGAGAGGAUGGUAGAAUUCCAGGUGUAGCGGUGAAAUGCGUAGAGAUCUGGAGGAAUACCGAUGGCGAAGGCAGCCAUCUGGCCUAAUACUGACGCUGAGGUACGAAAGCAUGGGGAGCAAACAGGAUUAGAUACCCUGGUAGUCCAUGCCGUAAACGAUGUCUACUAGCCGUUGGGGUCUUUGAGACUUUAGUGGCGCAGCUAACGCGAUAAGUAGACCGCCUGGGGAGUACGGUCGCAAGACUAAAACUCAAAUGAAUUGACGGGGGCCCGCACAAGCGGUGGAGCAUGUGGUUUAAUUCGAUGCAACGCGAAGAACCUUACCUGGUCUUGACAUAGUAAGAACUUUCCAGAGAUGGAUUGGUGCCUUCGGGAACUUACAUACAGGUGCUGCAUGGCUGUCGUCAGCUC